AUUCCUAGUUCUUCUAUAGAUAUCUAAUAUAGAGUUAUCGUUUUGUCUCUUGUUUAUAGGAAAAGAAUGUGAAAAUGGAACAUAUCUUGAGGGCAAAUUACAACCCAGGGUCGAUGACUAAGUUUUACAUUACGUUUGCUGCAAGAGAGUUCGAGUCUCCAGAUGCACCUUUAGUGGAGUAUCAAGCUAAAGCGGUAUGGUCUGUAACCCACAAAAUUUAUCCCAUCCUUUGCAGGCCAAGUCCCGCACCUACAAGGGCCAUGGACGAGAUCAUUUGAAAGAGGUAGCCAAGGUGAUGGAAGAGUCUGGAAGAGAUCAGUUGAAGAGCUUCACUGGGAAACUUGUUUAUCCGGUUGUAAUGUUAUUAGUAGACUUAGGUUAUUGGGAACUUUAAUUUGCACUGUAUUCUAUGUUGAAGACUAGUGUGUAUCAAGAACCCGUACUCGACAAUGCAGUGUUGAAUGCGAAUGGUUUGUGAAUCCUGAAUUUUGCAAUCUUGUUCUGUUGUCCAGCCAGUUUGUUUUUGCCUAGGUAUAUCUGUUUAUCACUCGGGGGAAAAAGAGUUAAAACUAACUAAGGUUUAGAAAAGAGAUACCAUCUUUUUUUUUUU
This is a long non-coding RNA of Arabidopsis lyrata subsp. lyrata, 610 nucleotides long. RefSeq lists it as uncharacterized. Lineage: Eukaryota; Viridiplantae; Streptophyta; Magnoliopsida; Brassicales; Brassicaceae. The record is from RefSeq and is a predicted model, not a curated record. The transcript has 2 exons.